RNAcentral lists this ribosomal RNA (301 nucleotides) under uncultured bacterium. RNAcentral describes it as "partial 16S ribosomal RNA". It matches the Rfam family "Bacterial small subunit ribosomal RNA", at positions 509 to 807 of the family's 1533-position model. The record is from RNAcentral.
CAGUAGCCACGGUAAUACGAAGGGGGCUAGCGUUGUUCGGAAUUACUGGGCGUAAAGCGCACGUAGGCGGAUAUUUAAGUCAGGGGUGAAAUCCCGCAGCUCAACUGCGGAACUGCCUUCGAUACUGGGUAUCCUGAGUAUGGAAGAGGUAAGUGGAAUUGCGAGUGUAGAGGUGAAAUUCGUAGAUAUUCGCAGGAACACCAGUGGCGAAGGCGGCUUACUGGUCCAUAACUGACGCUGAGGUGCGAAAGCGUGGGGAGCAAACAGGAUUAGAGACCCCAGUAGUCCCUGUCUCUUAUAC